GCCGCCGCCUUGUUUCCCCUCUUCGUGCGAUUCGGCCGCCGCCUUGGCUUCCCCUCCUCCCGCGACCCGGCCGCCGCCCUGGCUUCCCCUCCUCCCGCGACCCGGCCGCCGCCUUGGCUUCCCCUCCUCCCGCGACCCGGCCGCCGCCUUGGCUUACCCUCCUCCUGCGGCCCGGCCGCCGCCUCUUGGCUUCCCCUUCUCCUGCGAUCCGGCCGCGCCUUGGCUGCAGUCCGCUUGAUAUCUCUACGCAUCGGACGAGGUCAAGCGAGCAGACCAGCUGCCCAUCUGGCUGCUGCAAAGUCGCGCUUCAGGUUUUACGCCGCAUCCCUGGUUCAACGAUUUUGAUCAUGGAUCAGGUGGAUUUUUUUUCCCACUAUCUGUUCCGUCCCGUUUUUAGGUUUUCACACCAUUUACCAAUUUUUCUCUUUGUUUGUCCACACAGCUUUACCGCAGGAUCAGUAGAAGCAUUGUUAAGAUAGCGAUUGGGCAUUCCUUUUAUCAUGGUUUUGUUUCUGAUAUCAUGCCACGGCUCACUGUAAUGGCAAGUGCGGCCUCAUUUCCAACGCCAUUGAAAAAUUACGAUGUCCUUCUGAGUUUUCCAGAUGGAAAAGAGUUCUUUUACCCUGCAGAAAGCGCUAUCCAAAUCAUCCAAAUCACAGACGGUAUUGCUGUAAUAGAAUGCCAUGGGGAAGAGAUUGAUACAGAUCUGGUCGAGGCACUUCAAGUAUGUGGAGAACAAGUUUCAAUAUCUGAAGAAGUGUAUACAUAUAAUGCUUACGCUGAGGGCAUAGAAAGCGCCAUAACCAAAGGUUAUGUAAUGUCAAUACAAGAGAGUUCGUUCUUCCACAGCUGCUCUGCAGGUUUAACUUUGCACCUGGGAGCAUUGGUCAUUAACAAAGGCGGUCAAUUGGUUGGCUUGUGUACUGGGUUUGAUCGCCACCUAAUUGCUAGAGAAAUGUCUGCACUAGCAUAAGUAGAUCCUGAUUACAUAUACCCAACCGAAGACUGUUUAUGUUCUUUUUUCAAAUAAAUAAUUUAGUUCAUGAAUAUUAUGUUAGAGCAUGCUUUGAAUUAAUGCUUCCACAGUCCUACUGAUUAUGUUUCUCACAAACGACAUGGUGAAAUGCAUGGGAAUAUUUCCCUGAAAUGCUAUUUCACACUUUCAGCAGCUACGGACAAGAAUUUAAAAGCAUGUACCUUGUUUCAAAGAUCUAGUUAUAUUGUGUUCUAUGGCUAAUUAAGAAACUUUAUAGAUAUUGGGAUCUAGCUAUAAUUUUUUCACAAUUUGGGCUUUGCACUUAGAUUUAAUAUAUAGUCAAAUAUACAUAACCAGUGUUAGGUAAGAACCUAUUUUGCAUCUUGGUUCACUGCUUUACCCAUUUGUGUUUGGGAAAGCAAUAUUCAUAAUUGAUUAAAAUGUGCACUUUAUCUGAAGUGCAUUUUAUAAAAUGGUUGCAAAAAGAAACUUUAGUCAGAAUUGAAAGGCCAAGCUUGGGAAGAAUAACGGAGCAUAUGGCAGAACCAAAUAGCUAUUGAUAGCCCUGUUACUUUUAUAUGUUUUUUAAGCUGUUGAGCAAUUGCUUCUCCUGGUCUUUGGUGAAUGAGAGGAUAAUUCAAGAAAAUUGAGUGGGGUAAAAUGGUCUUGUUCCAGUAAUUCUAUAUCAGUGUUAGAUAAGAACAUAUUUUCAGAAAAUGAGAGGGUAAAAUCCCACAUUCUUCAGCCGUGACUGGUGACACCUUUGUUAUUUUUUAAUUGAAGUAGGAGCUUAUGUUGGCCACUGUAACUUUUUGGCAAUGCUACCAACCACCAACUUCUGUCUUGAUGAAACCUGAAUAUUACACAGUACACUCAAUUGAUUUGAGAGCAAUAUGACAGCGCUUCUGUGGUUGCUAGUUUUUGUUAAAAAUAUACAUCGUCCUCCUAGUGGUAUGAUAUUUUGGCUGCAGUUUUUUUCUUCUUAUGAUGGAGCUAUAUCCUAAGAUAAAAAUACCAAUCUAUAUGUGACUAUCUAACCUAUCAAGUGCUUUGUGCCUUUGGGCAAGAUGAUUUGUCGUAUCAAGUGUUUGUCAUUCUGUCCUGGCAUUUUGAACCCCUUGAGGUGGCAGUUUUCAACAUUUUAACCUGCCAUGUCUUCCCUGGAUUAUUUGAGCUUGUGCACCUUUUUCAGUUUUCAUCCGUGUCCAUAUGUAAAAAGAGAGUGUAUCUGAUGCCUCCUCUUGUAUUUCAGGAGAACCAUUUGUAGAUGGGCAAGCUGUUCCUUAGGACCCCGAAUACCACAAGGAGUGGGUGAGAAACACUCCUUUUGGCAACCGGUGUACUCAUAGCCGUCCCAACUUUGAAAGGAGAAGGUAUAACACGUGUACAGUCCUACCUGUGCGGGCCUGAUCCACCAAGUUAUCAGUUUCCCUCACAGGUAACCCAAGCUACGAAUGCAGCGGCAACUACAACAACACCGCCCCACCUGCUUACGAAGGCAGGAACGGGCCAGGGAGGCAUUACCAAUAGAGAUCACUGCUAGAAGAUUGCCGUAGGAAAGUUAGUACGGAUUUUUUGCAUAUAUUCUCUAUCCGUACCAGUUUUGUGAGAAAUAUAAUUACUAAAGCUUAGGCAAAUGCUCUCUUUUUUCUCUUUGUUGAAAUAAAUACAGUGUUGACUAAAUUUUCGUGUGGAGCCAGGGUAAACAAGUGCCUCAUGGUGCCAGGUGUAAGAAUUUGUGAGAAAACUUGUGUUUAUUGAUUCUGGGCAAAGCCCUAUUUAUACAAGGAUUUGGGCGCCUCCGGAGAGGCGUCCGUUUACAA
Aegilops tauschii subsp. strangulata is the source of this 2799-nucleotide long non-coding RNA. RefSeq lists it as uncharacterized. The record is from RefSeq and is a predicted model, not a curated record. Lineage: Eukaryota; Viridiplantae; Streptophyta; Magnoliopsida; Poales; Poaceae.